GACGAACGCUGGCGGCGUGCUUAACACAUGCAAGUCGAACGGAAAGGCCUGCUUUCCCUUGUGGAUUGCGGGUACUCGAGUGGCGAACGGGUGAGUAACACGUGAGUGAUCUGCCCCCAACUUGGGUAUAAGCCUGGGAAACUGGGUCUAAUUCCCGAUAGGACUGCAGGGUGGUGCCUGUGGUGGAAAACGAUUUUCUAGUGGUUGGGGAUGAGCUCGCGGCCUAUCAGCUUGUUGGUGGGGUAAUGGCCUACCAAGGCGGCGACGGGUAGCCGGCCUGGGAGGGGGGACGGCCACAUUGGGACUGGGAUACGGCCCAGACUCCUACGGGAGGCAGCAGUGGGGAAUAUUGGACAAUGGGCGGAAGCCUGAUGCAGCGACGCCGCGUGGGGGAUGACGGCCUUCGGGUUGUAAACUCCUUUCGACCGCGAGGAAGCCACCUGGUUGGAAGGGUGGUGACGGUAGUGGUAGAAGAAGCACCGGCUAACUACGUG
RNAcentral lists this ribosomal RNA (494 nucleotides) under uncultured bacterium. RNAcentral describes it as "partial 16S ribosomal RNA". It matches the Rfam family "Bacterial small subunit ribosomal RNA", at positions 28 to 507 of the family's 1533-position model. The record is from RNAcentral.